Long non-coding RNA from Stylophora pistillata, 262 nucleotides. NCBI's taxonomy places the organism in Eukaryota, Metazoa, Cnidaria, Anthozoa, Scleractinia, Pocilloporidae. The record is from RefSeq and is a predicted model, not a curated record.
GCACUGUUGGCUUUGGCAGCCAGCGCAUUUGGGAGGCCAGUCGUGACUUCGGACGAAAGAGAGAUUGAUAAUUAUGAGGAUGGUACAUUUGAAACUAUGGACACAGAUGGAGAUGGUGGUAUUACGCCGGAUGAGUUGGCGCAAGGACUUGAUAUCUCUCUGCUGAUUGCUAACCGAUAUGUGGUAGCUUUUGACGCGAAACGAGACGGAGAGCUUGAUUCUAAGGAGUUUUCAAACUUACCACUACACGAACAGUAAUGCC